This 1400-nucleotide ribosomal RNA is filed under the name Lacticaseibacillus rhamnosus. RNAcentral's name for it is "bacterial SSU rRNA". It matches the Rfam family "Bacterial small subunit ribosomal RNA". The record is from RNAcentral. Lineage: Bacteria; Bacillati; Bacillota; Bacilli; Lactobacillales; Lactobacillaceae.
CGAGUUCUGAUUAUUGAAAGGUGCUUGCAUCUUGAUUUAAUUUUGAACGAGUGGCGGACGGGUGAGUAACACGUGGGUAACCUGCCCUUAAGUGGGGGAUAACAUUUGGAAACAGAUGCUAAUACCGCAUAAAUCCAAGAACCGCAUGGUUCUUGGCUGAAAGAUGGCGUAAGCUAUCGCUUUUGGAUGGACCCGCGGCGUAUUAGCUAGUUGGUGAGGUAACGGCUCACCAAGGCAAUGAUACGUAGCCGAACUGAGAGGUUGAUCGGCCACAUUGGGACUGAGACACGGCCCAAACUCCUACGGGAGGCAGCAGUAGGGAAUCUUCCACAAUGGACGCAAGUCUGAUGGAGCAACGCCGCGUGAGUGAAGAAGGCUUUCGGGUCGUAAAACUCUGUUGUUGGAGAAGAAUGGUCGGCAGAGUAACUGUUGUCGGCGUGACGGUAUCCAACCAGAAAGCCACGGCUAACUACGUGCCAGCAGCCGCGGUAAUACGUAGGUGGCAAGCGUUAUCCGGAUUUAUUGGGCGUAAAGCGAGCGCAGGCGGUUUUUUAAGUCUGAUGUGAAAGCCCUCGGCUUAACCGAGGAAGUGCAUCGGAAACUGGGAAACUUGAGUGCAGAAGAGGACAGUGGAACUCCAUGUGUAGCGGUGAAAUGCGUAGAUAUAUGGAAGAACACCAGUGGCGAAGGCGGCUGUCUGGUCUGUAACUGACGCUGAGGCUCGAAAGCAUGGGUAGCGAACAGGAUUAGAUACCCUGGUAGUCCAUGCCGUAAAACGAUGAAUGCUAGGUGUUGGAGGGUUUCCGCCCUUCAGUGCCGCAGCUAACGCAUUAAAGCAUUCCGCCUGGGGAGUACGACCGGCAAGGUUGAAACUCAAAGGAAUUGACGGGGGCCCGCACAAGCGGUGGAGCAUGUGGUUUAAUUCGAAGCAACGCGAAGAACCUUACCAGGUCUUGACAUCUUUUGAUCACCUGAGAGAUCAGGUUUCCCCUUCGGGGGCAAAAUGACAGGUGGUGCAUGGUUGUCGUCAGCUCGUGUCGUGAGAUGUUGGGUUAAGUCCCGCAACGAGCGCAACCCUUAUGACUAGUUGCCAGCAUUUAGUUGGGCACUCUAGUAAGACUGCCGGUGACAAACCGGAGGAAGGUGGGGAUGACGUCAAAUCAUCAUGCCCCUUAUGACCUGGGCUACACACGUGCUACAAUGGAUGGUACAACGAGUUGCGAGACCGCGAGGUCAAGCUAAUCUCUUAAAGCCAUUCUCAGUUCGGACUGUAGGCUGCAACUCGCCUACACGAAGUCGGAAUCGCUAGUAAUCGCGGAUCAGCACGCCGCGGUGAAUACGUUCCCGGGCCUUGUACACACCGCCCGUCACACCAUGAGAGUUUGUAACACCUCGAAGCC